Molecule: ribosomal RNA, 430 nt
Filed under: uncultured bacterium
Lineage: Bacteria
Description: bacterial SSU rRNA
Rfam family: Bacterial small subunit ribosomal RNA
Source: RNAcentral
GGGCCCGCACAAGCGGUGGAGCAUGUGGUUUAAUUCGAUGCAACGCGAAAAACCUUACCUACUCUUGACAUACUUGGGAGCUCUUGUAAUGAGAGUGUGCCUUUUGGAACCAAGAUACAGGUGCUGCAUGGCUGUCGUCAGCUCGUGUCGUGAGAUGUUCCGUUAAGUCGGAUAACGAGCGCAACCCUUACCCUUAUUUGCCAGCGAUUCGGUCGGGAACUAUAAGGGGACUGCCGGUGAUAAACCGGAGGAAGGUGAGGACGACGUCAAGUCAUCAUGGCCCUUACGAGUAGGGCUACACACGUGCUACAAUGGGGAAUACAGACGGACGCUAAGCCGCGAGGUGGUGCAAAUCCUCAAAACUGGGCCCAGUUCAGAUUGUAGUCUGCAACUCGACUACAUGAAGUCGGAAUCGCUAGUAAUGGCGCAU